AGUCCACUUUAGUUUAUGGUGACAUGGCGCUGUUGUGGUUAACGGUGGUGGUUUUACAGUUAUGUUUUACACUGCAGGACAAUCAGUUCUGCGAAAUCGCCAAUGUCCAGAUUGAACAUGAAGAUGGAACCAGACAGGUCUUUGAAUUAAAACGAAUCGAGCCGAUUAAAGGCGCUCCUUGCCUCGUAUGUGGGAAUAAGGCAAGCAACAGAGAAUGGGAAACAACUCCGCUUACGUUCAACAUCGUGUUGACGCCCGGUGAAGUCGUCGCCGAGUGUGAGACAGGCAAACACAAUCUCCCAGCUGGGCUUUGUACCUCUCAGCAUAUGAACGAAGUUUGCAAUAAAGAUGAUCCGUCCUCAUGUCCAGAGGAUCCCCAGAUUUUAGCAAACAGUAUAGUUGAACAAGGUCUUGUUCCCAUGGCAACCGGAGAUUCUGAUAUUGACCAAAAGAUUGCGCUGGCAGUGGUCUUGGUUAAUUUGGGAUCACAUGACCUCGCCAUUCAAAAGUUUACAAAAAUACUUCAGGUCAAGCCAAGAACUGUUGCUGCAUUCUAUGGCCGAGGAGUGGCCUAUGCAAGGAAAGGCUUAAAUGUGCCGGAAAAUGCAGUAUUAGCUCUGUCUGACUUUACAGAAGCCAUUCAGACUGAUAAGAAGAGACAUGAAGCCUAUGAGAGGAGAGCAGAGGUGUAUAUCAGCCUCGGACAGUACAACGAAGCACUGGAGGAUCUCACAGUGGCCAUCAAACACAGGCCUACAGAAAAACUUUAUUUUAUGAGGGGAGUCAUUAACCUUUUACUAGAGAAUUUUGCGGAUGCUGAGACGGAUUUUAAACAGAAUCUGGAGUCUGAGGGGGACAUGUACAUAAUGUCCUACUUCAACCUGGGUCUGGCCCAGUACUACAGGGGUCGAGUCAGGAAUGCAAUAGAAGUAUUCAAAGAAAUUCUGAAGAAGAAACCCGAUCACAUAGAUGCAUGUACAAGUUUAGCACAGGCGUUCAAAGAAUUAGGUAACUUGAAAGCAGCAAGAAGUCGUUUUAACCAGUCUCUGUCGCUGGACCCCAACCACAGCCUAUCCCUGCAGCUACAGGGAAGCAUGAUGUACCACAGCGGAGACUCCCACGCUGCCCUCAACGACUUCAACAAAUGUUUAGAAAUCGACUCGGAAAACGUUCACUGCCAAUAUAUGCAAGGCCUGGCCUACUUAGCUAUGGGCAAGUUUUACGAAGGUGUCAAAGCGUCCACAAAAGUGAUGAUAAAAAGCGCAGGAUCUAUAAAAAUGUCACCAGAGUUCAUAAAAGCUCAUUACCUCAGGGAAUAUGGUCGAUAUUUACAUUCCAAGCUGGACGUGAACCUGGACCAACUUCAACCGGAGUACGAUCUGGGAGAUGAAUUCCAGGAUCACUGGGUUAAAACAUUGCCAUUUACAUUUACGAAACCAUAUCAAGAGCAGCCAGGGUUACAGCCUGACAUCAGAGACGUCACGCCCCAGACCCUGUCCAGCUACCCACCACAAGCACAGACCCUGCUGUGCCGGGCGGAGAAGAUCGGCUGGUCCAUGCAGGUCAACUCAGAUGGAUUUACACCCAAUAAAAGACUCAAUCUUGCCAUGGGGCUUGCCUCGAUACACAUAGCACAACAUUUUGAGAUGAAAUGGAAAAGUUAUAAAAAUACAAAAGGAAGUGGAGUCAAUGUCACAGAAAGGCCUUUAAGCUGGAGGGAGGUAUUUGGAAUAGCAGUGCAAUAUCGUCGCCUAGCCGACCCAGAACAGCCAGUAUUGUGGGUGUCAUCCCUCCCCGAUCACCUCACAACAGAAGGGCAUCGGACAGACAUCACAUUUAUAAGGGGAUCAGUAGCUAACCUAAAAGUAAUGCAGUAUUUUGACCUGGUGUUUAAACUGGCCAAGACAAUGCUAGAACACUAUACAGGGGAGGGUGCGGUGUCCUAUGCUAACCUGAAGGAAGACAUCAGGAAGGCGCAGUCAUGCGAGGACCUUCUUUCAGUCGCCAGGAAGAGAAAGAUCAACCCGCAUGGGUUUCUUGUGUCGACACAAGUUCCCAGUAUGACAAAGACCAAAGAGGAGGAUCGGUUAGACGGCGCCAUGCUGAUACUGACAGAGGACUUAAAUGGCAAGAUUGUGUUUGCUCUGAACGUAGCCAAUACCCAAGAGCGGAUGACGAUGUACUCGUCGGAGAUGGACUAUGUUUUUACACAAAUACAGGACGAGAUCAGGAAGACAGGCCUCAGCAAAAUAACUGACAUUGACCAGAUACUCAACCUGAUUGUCUCCCUGGUGUACUACUUUUACAACCUCAUGCCCCUCACCCGAGGCUCCAGUGUUGUGGCAUACACAGUAGCCCUCGGUCUGGUCAUGUCGGUGGGGAGACAGGUGACGGGGAAGAUACCUACAGGCAAGCUGCUGGAGCUGGAAGCCAUGCUAGCAGGUGCCCCGGAUGCUUUUGUAGCUGUCUCUAAACAGUGGAUGAAUAUCAAGAAAAACAACAGUCUUGUCUCAACACUCCCUAAAGUAUGGGAGGUUUUUCCAACAGUGCGCCAUGUUUUAGAAGCCCUGACAGUUAACACGAGCUCAUGUUAAUAUAUAGGAAUUUUAACUGUUUUAACUUUUAUAUGCAUUCCAGCAUCGAACACGCCCCUUGAUAUAUGCACAACAGUCCCUUGCAAAUAAUGAUCUCAUUGGGAACUCAAAGGUGCUGCAUUCUCAGUGAUGAAACAUGAACUUGUGGUUCAGGACCAAGGAACACCAGGUGUCAUGUCAUGGCUCUGUAUGGGCGAGGAUGAGGUGGUCUGGAACACCAGGUGUCAUGUCAUGGCUCUGUAUGGGCGAGGAUGGGGUGGUCUGUAUUGUGGGUGGUCUGUAUGGGCAAGGAUGGGGUGGUCUGUAUUGUGGGUGGUCUGUAUGGGCGAGGAUGGGGGUGGUCUGUAUUGUGGGUGGUCUGUAUGGGCGAGGAUGGGGUGGUCUGUAUUGUGGGUGGUCUGUAUGGGCGAGGAUGGGGUGGUCUGUAUUGUGGGUGGUCUGUAUGGGCGAGGAUGAGGUGGUCUGGAACAACAGGUGUCAUGUCAUGGCUCUGUAUGGGCGAGGAUGGGGUGGCCUGUAUUGUGGGUGGUCUGUAUGGGCGAGGAUGGGGUGGUCUGUAUUGUGGGUGGUCUGUAUGGGCGAGGAUGGGGUGGUCUGUAUUGUGGGUGGUCUGUAUGGGCGAGGAUGGGGUGGUCUGUAUUGUGGGUGGUCUGUAUGGGCGAGGAUGGGGUGGUCUGUAUUGUGGGUGGUCUGUAUGGGCGAGGAUGGGGUGGUCUGUAUUGUGGGUGGUCCGUAUGGGUGAGGAUGGGGUGGUCUGUAUUGUGGGUGGUCUGUAUAGGCGAGGAUGGGGUGGUCUGUAUUGUGGGUGGUCCGUAUGGGCGAGGAUGGGGUGGUCUGUAUUGUGGGUGGUCCGUAUGGGCGAGGAUGGGGUGGUCUGUAUUGUGGGUGGUCUGUAUGGGCGAGGAUGGGGUGGUCUGUAUUGUGGGUGGUCUGUAUGGGCGAGGAUGGGGUGGUCUGUAUUGUGGGCGGUCUGUAUGGGCGAGGAUGGGGUGGUCUGUAUUGUGGGUGGUCUGUAUGGGCGAGGAUGGGGUGGUCUGUAUUGUGGGUGGUCUGUAUGGGCGAGGAUGGGGUGGUCUGUAUUGUGGGUGGUCUGUAUGGGCGAGGAUGGGGUGGUCUGUAUUGUGGGUGGUCUGUAUUGUGGGUGGUCUGUAUUGUGGGUGGUCUGUAUGGGUAAGGAUGGGGGGGCCUGUAUUUGGGGGAUCCUAGGUCCCCUGCUAUGCCUAUCCUUUAUAUAUAGUGCUCUAUGCCGCUGUGUGCCUUAUUGUUAUAAACAUCAAGACCAAAUAAAAAACAUUUUAUAUGAUAAAUAUUCCAGCCCAGAUCAGCUUUUUUUCUUGUUUUACAGAAGAUCCAAACCUAUCUGUAUGCAAAUGCUAAAAGAUUGGUUGAAUGUAGUCUCAUUUCAAAAACCUUCAUGUUGCCAACUCUACUUGAAAAUUUCACAUUUAUUUUGUAAAAAACCAAAAUGAUUCUGUUAUCAUUUCUACAAUUUUCAAAAUAUGAAGAAUUAUGCUCUUGUUUCUUUGUCAUUUGUACCAAUCAUUCCAUUUUCUUUCAUUUUUCUAUUUGUCAAAGAAAAGAAAUAAGAUAAUUUGGCCUUAUUUCAUGGCAUUCCCCUGAGUCAGUGAGAAUGCAGUUCAGUUUCCCUCUGCUCUAAGUGUUAAGUCAGUGAGAAUGCAGUACAGUUUCCCUCUGCUCCAAGUGUUAAGUCAGUGAGAAUGCAGUACAGUUUCCCUCUGCUCCAAGUGUUAAGUCAGUGAGAAUGCAGUACAGUUUCCCUCUGCUCUAAGUGUUAAGUCAGUGAGAAUGCAGUACAGUUUCCCUCUGCUCUAAGUGUUAAGUCAGUGAGAAUGCAGUACAGUUUCCCUCUGCUCUAAGUGUUAAGUCAGUGAGAAUGCAGUACAGUUUCCCUCUGCUCCAAGUGUUAAGUCAGUGAGAAUGCAGUACAGUUUCCCUCUGCUCCAAGUGUUAAGUCAGUGAGAAUGCAGUACAGUUUCCCUCUGCUCCAAGUGUUAAGUCAGU
Molecule: unclassified non-coding RNA, 4616 nt
Filed under: Haliotis rufescens (red abalone)
Lineage: Eukaryota; Metazoa; Mollusca; Gastropoda; Lepetellida; Haliotidae
Description: tetratricopeptide repeat protein 13-like, transcript variant X5
Source: RNAcentral